This 930-nucleotide long non-coding RNA is filed under the name Panax ginseng (ginseng). Its description in RNAcentral is "long non-coding RNA (PGIN_LNC000241)". The record is from RNAcentral. Lineage: Eukaryota; Viridiplantae; Streptophyta; Magnoliopsida; Apiales; Araliaceae.
UUUGGUAUAAUGGUAUAAACCAUGUCUAUAAUACUCUAUAUGGAAUGUUUUGUUCAGCCAAUUAAAACUAGAAUGAUGGUGCUAUAAUCUUUACAAAUGUUGCUAUAUAUUAGGUGUAAUAUGUCUAAAAAGGGAUAUAAAGGAACAUUUGAAUUGGCCAUGAUAGGCACAUGGCUGCUGCCUAUGGCAGCAGCAGAAACAGUGAAUUGAUUUUGGUUGGGAGUUUUUCUUUUAAGUUUUCAAUGGGCAAGCCUAGUAGUUUAAACGACUUGGUUAGUAUUCUAUUCAGGAUGGUAAGUACAUUACUUAUAUUGUCUCCAAAAAUUUUACUGUAUCGUAGUAUAUUAACUACAAGUUAAAAUUUGGUGGAGAAUGUGUAAUUUUGAUUAUGUAUUGUAAUUCACCAACUGAUAGUGGUAUUAUAUGAGUAAGGUUGAAAGUUAUAUGUAUAGAGAUUAUAUUAUCUUAUAUUGCAUACAUUAGAAGCACAUGUGAUAGUAUGAAAGGAACAUGAACUAACUAGUUGCAUAUAUUGGUUAAAAUAGAAAAUUGAAUGUUUUAUGAAUUGCUAUGGCUGGAACUAGAUUGGAGGAAAUAGGUUGGUUGUGUGGAGGUAUAAGGGUGAUAAAAUGGAGUUUUAACACAAGCAAAUAGCUAUGACACAAGUAGUUUUAAACUAUGCACAUUAGUAGUUUGAUAAAAGUCCUUAAUGGACUGUUUUGCUUAAACGUUGGUUAUUUGAUAGAAUUAAAGCUUGGGCUAGAUACGUACACCACAUAUAAUGAUAAUUAGAAAGUUUAAGCUUAAUAGAUUAAAAUGAGAUGCAAUUUCAGCCCGAAACCAUUGGUUGAAUUCAGUGUGUCAAGCUAUUUUUACCCGCUAUUUUUGGCAGUGUAUUGAAACUGUAAUGGAGGUUUUAUUUAAUCAAAA